RNAcentral lists this long non-coding RNA (2193 nucleotides) under Rattus norvegicus (Norway rat). RNAcentral describes it as "long non-coding RNA NONRATT008355". The record is from RNAcentral. Lineage: Eukaryota; Metazoa; Chordata; Mammalia; Rodentia; Muridae.
GUGGAGUUUGUUUAAAAAUAUUUGUACAUGCCUAGGGUACUGUCAGAGUUCUAAGAGCCUUGAUUCUGUUUGGUCCCAGGCCUCUUCCCCUGGGCAGAAAAGACUUGGCUAAUGUUUCCUUUACUCCUGGAAUGAGAUUCUUUCUUGUCAGUGUUUUAGUAACUAAAGCUCUUAUCAAUCUGAAAACCAUUUCUCUCCACACUACCCUAACUACAUUUUCUUAAUUAUAAUGUAAAUUUUGACAGUCCUUUCUCUCAUGAAAAUCAUUAGGACUCUAUCCUUGUCACUGCCUGCCAACCCAACUCUGUCAGUUACUGAAGAGCAGCAGAGCCUCUGUAGAGACCAGAACAUCUGAUGAUCACACAUAAGGACUGAGGCUCCAUUUGCACACACUGCCCAAGGAUGGUGAUAUGGUGAGCUAGCUAAUAGGAAGGCUAGCCUUUUAGAAACAAACUCAUGGGACCAGACUGCCUAACAAUGACCAUGCAGCCAGCUUGCCUUGAUGGAAUUAUUCAUGUGGAAACACAUGACACAAGUCUGGAAGGCUCUAUAACUCAGCCACUGAGCCUUAUUUAUACUUUCCAAUGAGGAAUAAUUACAGAUGACAUUGAUUAUUUGAUGUGUGAUGCAUGGUACUAUAAACACCUAGAAUCUCCCAGCACCCCCUAAAGAAAGUUCUAUUCUUAUCAACCUUUUAGUGAUGAGGAAACCAAGGCAGGAAGGUGCCAUACUGUUCCCUGGGUGCCUCAUACACUAUGUACCCUGAGCUGCAGUGCCUCGAGAACAUAGGAGUUUAACUACUCUAUGUUGCCUAAGUAUAUGGCUGUUGAAGCUCUUAGGUCCACAGGGAACCUGCCCAGAGAACUUCACCUUCCUAAGGGACCGUCUACAAAUGUACAGUGAGUCCAAGUCGCCCAUAGCCUUUGGACUCAGGGCACCUUUGGUGUCCUCAGCACUGUCCACACCAGCUUUCCCAUGGAUGCACAGGGAGGAGAAUAAAUUGCAGGCUCUUUUUACUAUUCUUUUUGCUUCUUUCAAGAGAAAUAUUGGAAAACUUUUCUUGUACUUUUUUUCCUCACAGAUUCCACAACUUUUAGAACAAAACACAGCAGAAAAUUUAGCUGUCUCACCUCUGGCCAGUGUAGGGGCUUCAGUAAAAGGUCAUCCAAGGACCACUUGUUCACCAUUGCCAGAGAAGAGGAUGCUAUGGGCCAGUGUGGCAGUGCAUAUAGCACCUCUUUACUGCCAUUCUUUUCCCAUUCUUCUAGUCAAUCCUAUGAAGAAAAGAGUGUCUUUGUUUGAACAGAAGGAUACUGAGGCUACGAUGCCUUCCAGCCCUGUUGGAGAUAGGAACUUAUGGGCUCAGGAGGGAGGGCAAGGAGUUUUAUUAAGAUCACUAGUGUUACCCCACCCUCAUUCUGCUUUUAUUCCAGGUAUACUCUCCUCUCCCCUCUUUAUGACCUGUUCUCCAAAGAUGUUCCACCUCUCGCACACAUCUCCUUUAUCUUCUGUCUUAUCCUCUAUUCCCAUCGAUUGCCUUACUCUUUUAGUGUGCUCUUGUGUUUACUCUUCAGGUGUGUGUCUAUGCACACACUCACUCCCAAGCACCACAUACACAGCUACAACUGGAGCAAUGUACAUUUGAGUUAAAAACUCCAACAUGAGUGAAUUGGGGGUAGUCUGCAGAAGAUUCUACACGUUGCUGGAGGACUUUUGCCCUCAGAGAGAUGCAUAUCACACCCUGCCAAUGAAUCUCAGUUCUUACCUAGAGGAACUGUCUAGAAAGGCUAAUGUGAUUGAGCCAGUAUUAAACCUCAUUUCUAAGCUGCCAAACAGGUCUUAAGAGAGCCACUUCUGUCCACCUAACCACCUUCAGCUCUGUGUCCAACUGAGAUCUCUAUUGUUUCCUCUUGAAUGUCCAUGAACCACUGUACAGCAUCAGACCCUUAAAUGAGUGUGCAAUUGUUUCUCUUGAAGUUUGGUCCAUUCGUUACUUUGAAUUAACUGCACUCCUUGAUAUUCAAAUGUUCUAUUAAAAAAUAAUUGUGAAAAACACUCCACUCCUGUAGAAGAAAGAGGUGGUGUAAUGUGACCAACUCCAACCACAACAGUGUUCUUUAAGAGAUUUAUUGUACGAUUAUGAGAAAUGAAGUAAUCGUCUAAAUAAUAAACAAAGCUGUCAGUAACUGUUAA